GAUCUAGCUUGCUAGAUGCUGACGAGCGGCGGACGGGUGAGUAAUGCAUAGGAAUCUGCCCGGUAGUGGGGGAUAACCUGGGGAAACCCAGGCUAAUACCGCAUACGUCCUACGGGAGAAAGGGGGCUUCGGCUCCCGCUAUUGGAUGAGCCUAUGUCGGAUUAGCUAGUUGGUGAGGUAAAGGCUCACCAAGGCAACGAUCCGUAGCUGGUCUGAGAGGAUGAUCAGCCACAUCGGGACUGAGACACGGCCCGAACUCCUACGGGAGGCAGCAGUGGGGAAUAUUGGACAAUGGGGGCAACCCUGAUCCAGCCAUGCCGCGUGUGUGAAGAAGGCCCUCGGGUUGUAAAGCACUUUCACCGAGGAAUAACGCCUAGUGGUUAAUACCCAUUAGGAAAGACAUCACUCCCAGAAAAAGCACCGGCUAACUCCGUGCCAGCAGCCGCGGUAAUACGGAGGGUGUAAGCGUUAAUCAGAAUUACUGGGCGUAAAGCGCGCGAAGG
RNAcentral lists this ribosomal RNA (503 nucleotides) under Vreelandella boliviensis. RNAcentral describes it as "bacterial SSU rRNA". It matches the Rfam family "Bacterial small subunit ribosomal RNA", at positions 72 to 575 of the family's 1533-position model. Lineage: Bacteria; Pseudomonadati; Pseudomonadota; Gammaproteobacteria; Oceanospirillales; Halomonadaceae. The record is from RNAcentral.